Molecule: ribosomal RNA, 464 nt
Filed under: uncultured bacterium
Lineage: Bacteria
Description: partial 16S ribosomal RNA
Rfam family: Bacterial small subunit ribosomal RNA
Source: RNAcentral
GAUGAACGCUGGCGGCGUGCUUAACACAUGCAAGUCGAACGGAAAGGCCCCUUUGUGGGUACUCGAGUGGCGACCGGGUGAGUAACACGUGAGUAACCUGACCUUGACUUUGGGACUACUUCAGGUUACUGGGGCUAAUACCGGAAAGGAAUCAUUGAUGCAAGGUGGGGGUUGGAUAGCUUCGGCGGUUUUGGAUGGACUCGCUGCUUAUCAGCUUGUUGGUGGGGUAGUGGCUUACCAAGGCUUUGACGGGUAGCCGGCCUGAGAGGGCGACCGGCCACAUGGGGACUGAGAGACGGCCCAGAAUCCUACGGGAGGCAGCAGUGGGGAAUAUUGCACAAUGGGCGGGAGCCUGAUGCAGCAACGCCGCGUGCGGGAUAACGGCCUUCGGGUUGUAAACCGAUUUCAGCGGAGGCGAAGCUUUUGUGACGGUACCUGCAGAAGAAGCACCGGCUAACUACGUG